GCAUGGCGCAGCUACCAUGCAGUCACGAGAAAGGGGUAGCAAUAUCCCGAGUACAGUGGCGCACGGGUGAGUAACACGUAGGCAAUCUGCCUUCAGGACGGGGAUAAUUUCGCGAAAGCGGGACUAAUACCCGAUUAUGCAGCGGCACCGCAUGGUGACAGUUGUUAAAAGCCGCAAGGCGCCUGGAGAUGAGCCUGCGUCCCAUUAGGUAGUUGGCGGGGUAACGGCCCCCCAAGCCUGCGAUGGGUAGCUGGUCUGAGAGGAUGGCCAGCCACACUGGAACUGAGACACGGUCCAGACUCCUACGGGAGGCAGCAGUGAGGAAUAUUGCGCAAUGGCCGAAAGGCUGACGCAGCGACGCCGCGUGAGGGAUGAAGUCCGUUAGGAUGUAAACCUCUUUUGCAGGGGAUGAAGCUGCCGCUACAGGCGGCAGUCGACCGUACCCUGCGAAUAAGGGUCGGCUAACUACGUGCCAGCAGCCGCGGUAAUACGUAGGACCCGAGCGUUGUCCGGAUUUACUGGGUGUAAAGGGCGUGUAGGUGGGCGCUUAAGUCGAUGGUGAAAUCCUGCGGCUCAACCGUAGAAUUGCCGUCGAUACUGGGCGUCUUGAGUACGGCAGAGGGAGAUGGAAUUCAUGGUGUAGCGGUGAAAUGUGUAGAUAUCAUGAAGAACACCGGUAGCGAAGGCGGUCUCCUGGUCCGUUACUGACACUGAGGCGCGAAAGCGUGGGGAGCAAACAGGAUUAGAUACCCUGGUAGUCCACGCCUUAAACGAUGGGUACUAGGUGCUGGGCCGCAAGGUUCAGUGCCAAAGCUAACGCAUUAAGUACCCCACCUGGGGAGUACGAUCGCAAGGUUGAAACUCAAAGGAAUUGACGG
RNAcentral lists this ribosomal RNA (878 nucleotides) under uncultured Chloroflexota bacterium. RNAcentral's name for it is "bacterial SSU rRNA". It matches the Rfam family "Bacterial small subunit ribosomal RNA", at positions 39 to 916 of the family's 1533-position model. Lineage: Bacteria; Bacillati; Chloroflexota. The record is from RNAcentral.